This 253-nucleotide ribosomal RNA is filed under the name uncultured bacterium. Its description in RNAcentral is "partial 16S ribosomal RNA". It matches the Rfam family "Bacterial small subunit ribosomal RNA", at positions 524 to 776 of the family's 1533-position model. The record is from RNAcentral.
UAUGAAGGGGGCUAGCGUUGCUCGGAAUCACUGGGCGUAAAGCGCACGUAGGCGGCUUUCUAAGUCAGGGGUGAAAUCCUGGAGCUCAACUCCAGAACUGCCUUUGAUACUGAAGAUCUUGAGUUCGGGAGAGGUGAGUGGAACUGCGAGUGUAGAGGUGAAAUUCGUAGAUAUUCGCAAGAACACCAGUGGCGAAGGCGGCUCACUGGCCCGAUACUGACGCUGAGGCACGAAAGCGUGGGGAGCAAACAGG